This 253-nucleotide ribosomal RNA is filed under the name uncultured bacterium. RNAcentral's name for it is "partial 16S ribosomal RNA". It matches the Rfam family "Bacterial small subunit ribosomal RNA", at positions 524 to 776 of the family's 1533-position model. The record is from RNAcentral.
UACAGAGGUCUCAAGCGUUGUUCGGAUUCAUUGGGCGUAAAGGGUGCGUAGGCGGCGCGGUAAGUCGGGUGUGAAAUCUUGGAGCUUAACUCCGAAACUGCAUUCGAUACUGCCGUGCUUGAGGACUGGAGAGGAGACUGGAAUUUACGGUGUAGCGGUGAAAUGCGUAGAUAUCGUAAGGAAGACCAGUGGCGAAGGCGGAUCUCUGGGCCUGACCUGACGCUGAGGCGCGAAAGCUAGGGGAGCGAACAGG